AGUGAACGCUGGCGGUAGGCCUAACACAUGCAAGUCGAACGGCAGCACAGUAAGAGCUUGCUCUUACGGGUGGCGAGUGGCGGACGGGUGAGGAAUACAUCGGAAUCUACUUUUUCGUGGGGGGUAACGUAGGGAAACUUACGCUAAUACCGCAUACGACCUACGGGUGAAAGCAGGGGAUCUUCGGACCUUGCGCGAUUGAAUGAGCCGAUGUCGGAUUAGCUAGUUGGCGGGGUAAAGGCCCACCAAGGCGACGAUCCGUAGCUGGUCUGAGAGGAUGAUCAGCCACACUGGAACUGAGACACGGUCCAGACUCCUACGGGAGGCAGCAGUGGGGAAUAUUGGACAGUGGGCGCAAGCCUGAUCCAGCCAUACCGCGUGGGUGAAGAAGGCCUUCGGGUUGUAAAGCCCUUUUGUUGGGAAAGAAAAGCAGCAGGUUAAUACCCCGCUGUUCUGACGGUACCCAAAGAAUAAGCACGGCUAACUUCGUG
This 491-nucleotide ribosomal RNA is filed under the name uncultured bacterium. Its description in RNAcentral is "partial 16S ribosomal RNA". It matches the Rfam family "Bacterial small subunit ribosomal RNA", at positions 29 to 507 of the family's 1533-position model. The record is from RNAcentral.